This 253-nucleotide ribosomal RNA is filed under the name Salmonella enterica. Its description in RNAcentral is "partial 23S ribosomal RNA". It matches the Rfam family "Bacterial large subunit ribosomal RNA", at positions 492 to 747 of the family's 2925-position model. The record is from RNAcentral. Lineage: Bacteria; Pseudomonadati; Pseudomonadota; Gammaproteobacteria; Enterobacterales; Enterobacteriaceae.
GAACCAGUACCGUGAGGGAAAGGCGAAAAGAACCCCGGCGAGGGGAGUGAAAAAGAACCUGAAACCGUGUACGUACAAGCAGUGGGAGCACCCUUUGGGGUGUGACUGCGUACCUUUUGUAUAAUGGGUCAGCGACUUAUAUUCUGUAGCAAGGUUAACCGCAUAGGGGAGCCGCAGGGAAACCGAGUCUUAAUUGGGCGUUAAGUUGCAGGGUAUAGACCCGAAACCCGGUGAUCUAGCCAUGGGCAGGUUG